UGUUGGUGUCGCUGUUGGACAGUGUUUUCUCUACUUCCUGUUGGCCUUCUGUAGCUAAUCAUAGCUCCAUGUAGCUGUUUUUAUUUUAUAUUUUUUCUCUAUAAUCUUUCUUACUAUCACUGUCUGUUUGUUUGUUUUUUUUAAUUGUAAAAUAUAACUUAAUUCACACCAUAUUUCUGAUAUUACCGAUCAAUCUUAUCAGAUUAACUUUGAUCGUUCACUCUUCCGUGACUGCAGCACACCUGCAAAGCGUUAGCACUCGUUAGCUUGUCAUUAGCGUUUUCUUUUCUCCUCUCCUCUCCUCUCCCACGCUGCAGUUUUCCACAAGUUCAUCAAACAACCGCAGUAAGAAUAUUUCAUCAAGCACGGUCACCGUGGCCACCAGAUCCAGUCUGUGUCCAGAUCAGAGGGUCACUGCAGUCACCCGGAUCCAGUACGUAUCCAGACCAGAUGGUGGAUCAGCACCUAGAAAGGACCUCUACUGCCCUGAAAGACAGCGGAGACCAGGACAACUAGAGCCCCAGAUACAGAUCCCCUGUAAAGACCUUGUCUCAGAGGAGCACCAGGACAAGACCACAGGAAACAGAUGAUUCUUCUGCACAAUCUGACUUUGCUGCAGCCUGGAAUUGAACUACUGGUUUCGUCUGGUCAGAGGAGAACUGACCCCCCAACUGAGCCUGGUUUCUCCCAAGGUUUUUUUCUCCAUUCUGUCACCGAUGGAGUUUCGGUUCCUUGCCGCUGUCGCCUCUGGCUUGCUUAGUUGGGGUCACUUCAUCUACAGCGAUAUCAUUGACUUGAUUGCAAAUUAAAACAGACACUAUUUCAACUGAA
Molecule: long non-coding RNA, 831 nt
Organism: Carassius gibelio (silver crucian carp)
Lineage: Eukaryota; Metazoa; Chordata; Actinopteri; Cypriniformes; Cyprinidae
Exons: 2
Source: RefSeq, a predicted model, not a curated record